This 1372-nucleotide ribosomal RNA is filed under the name uncultured bacterium. RNAcentral's name for it is "bacterial SSU rRNA". It matches the Rfam family "Bacterial small subunit ribosomal RNA", at positions 28 to 1381 of the family's 1533-position model. The record is from RNAcentral.
GAUGAACGCUGGCGGCGUGCCUAAUACAUGCAAGUCGAGCGAACGGACGAGAAGCUUGCUUCUCUGAUGUUAGCGGCGGACGGGUGAGUAACACGUGGAUAACCUACCUAUAAGACUGGGAUAACUUCGGGAAACCGGAGCUAAUACCGGAUAAUAUUUUGAACCGCAUGGUUCAAAAGUGAAAGACGGUCUUGCUGUCACUUAUAGAUGGAUCCGCGCUGCAUUAGCUAGUUGGUAAGGUAACGGCUUACCAAGGCAACGAUGCAUAGCCGACCUGAGAGGGUGAUCGGCCACACUGGAACUGAGACACGGUCCAGACUCCUACGGGAGGCAGCAGUAGGGAAUCUUCCGCAAUGGGCGAAAGCCUGACGGAGCAACGCCGCGUGAGUGAUGAAGGUCUUCGGAUCGUAAAACUCUGUUAUUAGGGAAGAACAUAUGUGUAAGUAACUGUGCACAUCUUGACGGUACCUAAUCAGAAAGCCACGGCUAACUACGUGCCAGCAGCCGCGGUAAUACGUAGGUGGCAAGCGUUAUCCGGAAUUAUUGGGCGUAAAGCGCGCGUAGGCGGUUUUUUAAGUCUGAUGUGAAAGCCCACGGCUCAACCGUGGAGGGUCAUUGGAAAUUGGAAAACUUGAGUGCAGAAGAGGAAAGUGGAAUUCCAUGUGUAGCGGUGAAAUGCGCAGAGAUAUGGAGGAACACCAGUGGCGAAGGCGACUUUCUGGUCUGUAACUGACGCUGAUGUGCGAAAGCGUGGGGAUCAAACAGGAUUAGAUACCCUGGUAGUCCACGCCGUAAACGAUGAGUGCUAAGUGUUAGGGGGUUUCCGCCCCUUAGUGCUGCAGCUAACGCAUUAAGCACUCCGCCUGGGGAGUACGACCGCAAGGUUGAAACUCAAAGGAAUUGACGGGGACCCGCACAAGCGGUGGAGCAUGUGGUUUAAUUCGAAGCAACGCGGAGAACCUUACCAAAUCUUGACAUCCUUUGACAACUCUAGAGAUAGAGCCUUCCCCUUCGGGGGACAAAGUGACAGGUGGUGCAUGGUUGUCGUCAGCUCGUGUCGUGAGUUGUUGGGUUAAGUCCCGCAACGAGCGCAACCCUUAAGCUUAGUUGCCAUCAUUAAGUUGGGCACUCUAAGUUGACUGCCGGUGACAAACCGGAGGAAGGUGGGGAUGACGUCAAAUCAUCAUGCCCCUUAUGAUUUGGGCUACACACGUGCUACAAUGGACAAUACAAAGGGCAGCGAAACCGCGAGGUCAAGCAAAUCCCAUAAAGUUGUUCUCAGUUCGGAUUGUAGUCUGCAACUCGACUACAUGAAGCUGGAAUCGCUAGUAAUCGUAGAUCAGCAUGCUACGGUGAAUACGUUCUCGGGUCU